RNAcentral lists this ribosomal RNA (491 nucleotides) under uncultured bacterium. Its description in RNAcentral is "partial 16S ribosomal RNA". It matches the Rfam family "Bacterial small subunit ribosomal RNA", at positions 29 to 507 of the family's 1533-position model. The record is from RNAcentral.
GUGCACGCUGGCGGUAGGCCUCACCCCUGCAAGUCGCACGGCAGCACAGUAAGAGCUUGCUCUUACGGGUGGCGAGUGGCGGACGGGUGAGGAAUACAUCGGAAUCUACUUUUUCGUGGGGGAUAACGUAGGGAAACUUACGCUAAUACCGCAUACGACCUACGGGUGAAAGCAGGGGAUCUUCGGACCUUGCGCGAUUGAAUGAGCCGAUGUCGGAUUAGCUAGUUGGCGGGGUAAAGGCCCACCAAGGCGACGAUCCGUAGCUGGUCUGAGAGGAUGAUCAGCCACACUGGAACUGAGACACGGUCCAGACUCCUACGGGAGGCAGCAGUGGGGAAUAUUGGACAAUGGGCGCAAGCCUGAUCCAGCCAUACCGCGUGGGUGAAGAAGGCCUUCGGGUUGUAAAGCCCUUUUGUUGGGAAAGAAAAGCAGCAGGUUAAUACCCCGCUGUUCUGACGGUACCCAAAGAAUAAGCACCGGCUAACUUCGUG